UGCCUUACACAUGCAAGUCGAACGGCAGCACGGGUGCUUGCACCUGGUGCGAGUGGCGAACGGGUGAGUAAUAUAUAGGUAAUAUGCCUCUUACUAAGGGAUAACAGAUGGAAACGUCUGCUAAUACCUUAUAUGCCUUUAGGACUAAAGUCCGCAAGGGAAAGAUUUAUCGGUAAGAGAUUAGCCUGUACAGUAUCAGUUAGUUGGUGAGGUAAAGGCCUACCAAGGCGACGAUCCGUAGCGGGUCUGAGAGGAUGAUCCGCCACACUGGGACUGAGACACGGCCCAGACUCCUACGGGAGGCAGCAGUGGGGAAUAUUGGACAAUGGGCGCAAGCCUGAUCCAGCCAUGCCGCGUGUGUGAAGAAGGCCUUCGGGUUGUAAAGCACUUUCAGCGAGGAGGAAGGGAUGUAUGUUAAUAGCAUGCAUUUUUGACGUUACUCGCAGAAGAAGCACCGGCUAACUCUGUG
RNAcentral lists this ribosomal RNA (469 nucleotides) under uncultured bacterium. Its description in RNAcentral is "bacterial SSU rRNA". It matches the Rfam family "Bacterial small subunit ribosomal RNA", at positions 45 to 507 of the family's 1533-position model. The record is from RNAcentral.